UAGGGAAUCUUCGGCAAUGGGGGGAACCCUGACCGAGCAACGCCGCGUGAGUGAAGAAGGUUUUCGGAUCGUAAAGCUCUGUUGUUAAGGAAGAACGAGUGUGAGAAUGGAAAGUUCAUGCUGUGACGGUACUUAACCAGAAAGGGACGGCUAACUACGUGCCAGCAGCCGCGGUAAUACGUAGGUCCCGAGCGUUGUCCGGAUUUAUUGGGCGUAAAGCGAGCGCAGGCGGUUAGAAAAGUCUGAAGUGAAAGGCAGUGGCUCAACCAUUGUAGGCUUUGGAAACUGUUUAACUUGAGUGCAGAAGGGGAGAGUGGAAUUCCAUGUGUAGCGGUGAAAUGCGUAGAUAUCAUGAAGAACACCGGUGGCGAAGGCGGCCUGCUGGACUGUAACUGACGCUGAGGCUCGAAAGCGUGGGGAGCGAACAGG
Molecule: ribosomal RNA, 429 nt
Filed under: Verrucomicrobiota bacterium
Lineage: Bacteria; Pseudomonadati; Verrucomicrobiota
Description: Verrucomicrobia bacterium partial 16S ribosomal RNA
Rfam family: Bacterial small subunit ribosomal RNA
Source: RNAcentral